This 253-nucleotide ribosomal RNA is filed under the name uncultured bacterium. RNAcentral's name for it is "partial 16S ribosomal RNA". It matches the Rfam family "Bacterial small subunit ribosomal RNA", at positions 524 to 776 of the family's 1533-position model. The record is from RNAcentral.
UACGAAGGUGACAAGCGUUGUUCGGAUUCAUUGGGCGUAAAGGGUGCGUAGGCGGCGCGGUAAGUCGGGUGUGAAAUCUCGGAGCUUAACUCCGAAACUGCAUUCGAUACUGCCGUGCUUGAGGACUGGAGAGGAGACUGGAAUUUACGGUGUAGCGGUGAAAUGCGUAGAUAUCGUAAGGAAGACCAGUGGCGAAGGCGGGUCUCUGGACAGUUCCUGACGCUGAGGCACGAAGGCCAGGGGAGCAAACGGG